This 86-nucleotide transfer RNA is filed under the name Aggregatibacter actinomycetemcomitans NUM4039. RNAcentral describes it as "tRNA-Leu". Lineage: Bacteria; Pseudomonadati; Pseudomonadota; Gammaproteobacteria; Pasteurellales; Pasteurellaceae. The record is from RNAcentral.
UGAAACAUAAUCCCUUAUAAUACCGCUCGUUUUUAUGAAGCUUAUCAAUGCUGCCUGGGUGGCGAAAUUGGUAGACGCAGCGGAUU